GAAAUGCGAUAAGUAAUGUGAAUUGCAGAAUUCAGUGAAUCAUCGAAUCUUUGAACGCACCUUGCGCUCCUUGGUAUUCCUUGGAGCAUGCCUGUUUGAGUAUCAUGAAAUCUUCAAAGUAAAUCUUUUGUUAACUCAAUUGGUUUCUACUUUGGUAUUGGAGGUCUUUGCAGCUUCACACCUGCUCCUCUUUGUUCAUUAGCUGGAUCUCAGUGUUAUGCUUGUUUCCACUCGGCGUGAUAAGUUAUCUAUCGCUGAGGACACUGUAAAAGGUGGCCAAGGUAAAUGCAGAUGAACCGCUUCUAAUAGUCCAUUGACUUGGACAAUACUUUUAUGAUCUGAUCUCAAAUCAGGUAGGACUACCCGCUGAACUUAAGC
This 378-nucleotide unclassified non-coding RNA is filed under the name plant metagenome. RNAcentral's name for it is "partial contains 5.8S ribosomal RNA, internal transcribed spacer 2, and large subunit ribosomal RNA". The stretch from base 1 to 105 matches the Rfam family "5.8S ribosomal RNA", at positions 50 to 154 of the family's 154-position model. The record is from RNAcentral.